Molecule: long non-coding RNA, 2607 nt
Organism: Vollenhovia emeryi
Lineage: Eukaryota; Metazoa; Arthropoda; Insecta; Hymenoptera; Formicidae
Exons: 3
Source: RefSeq, a predicted model, not a curated record
GGAUAAUCAGGAGGCAGACGCGGGACACGUGGCUGAGACUGCGAGGGAUGACAGUUCGGGGGCCUCGAGCUCGCACAGUGUCGACUGGUCGCUGUUACGGCGCGGCGGAAUGAUUUUUCAUUAAUCUGUUAAUUCUUCAUCCCUGCCGGAUUUUAAGUGGCUGUAGAAACAAUUCCGCGGUAAGUAGUAAACGUAAUUUGGCGACGACCGUGACGUCGGGCGUUAUUAAGCCUAAACAGCACUUUACAAAACGGCGCGAUAAUUCUCGAGGAGGCUCAGACUAAAAGGGGAAUUAGUUAAAUUUCAAUUAAAUUAACGUGCACGCUCGUUAUCGUCGUUCGCGCAAUUCUAUUCAGAGAGCAGAAUCGGUUGCGUGGCUUCAUUUUCCCUCCAGCUAUCGCGUUGCCUGUCAAUUCGACAUUUCUUCAUUCUCUGAGGCUGUCAUUCUGAAACUUACGUUAUCUCUCUUCCUCAUAAACUGCCACUCUGACGGUUUCGAAACGCGUUCCUACUCUGUAUUAUUUUGUAAUUAUUACAUUUGAAUUAAUUACAAUUAGUUUAGUUCAUUAAUAAACGUAACAAUUAUAUUUUGUAAUUAUUAACGUUUUACGUAAUUACAUUCCUUCCAGACAAUGAAGUGUCAUUUAAAAAUUGCACCGACUACAAUGCAAAUUACUUUCAUUCACCGCCUAAAUGCCGAUGUAAAAUAAAAGUUGGUAAUAAAGUUUCAAAGUGAUAUCAUUAAUGCGUUAAUUGCUGUUGUUUACCAGAGAACCAAGUGUUACAAAUAUUAACUUUAUUUGGAUACUCGCGGCAAGCAAACCGUUUGUAAAACGAUUUAAAAAUUUCCUCGAAUGUCCCUGUUAAUUUACAAAAAGCCAUCGGGUAAAUGUCAUUCGCGUAAAUAUCACUAAUUAAAAUGUUGUGCACUUGUCACGAACGUUGCGUUGUUAUUACAACGUAGCGAUAGAAGAGUCGUGAGAUUUUAUUUUACAGCAAACUCUACAACGCAACCUAUAUAGAAAUAUAGAAGGAAAAGGACCAAUUUAUAUAAAUUACGGAAAUGGAAUCCGUUUAAAUGGGAGAGAAAGUAGGAAAGUUCUGCUUGACGCUGAUUAAUGUGCGCAAUGGAAGGGAACCGAAGCUGGCGGUAGAUGGCAACGUCCCUUAGAGCAACUUCGGUAUUGCAACCCCUGCGAUUGUGCGAAAUUGCAAAUACCGACAUCUACCGGGGGGAAAGGGAAGUAAAACGGAAGGAGUUGAAAAUGAAAUAAGUGCGACACUUUUCCGUACAUCGGCGCGCAACUUUCCCCUGCAAAUCUCUUACCAUUACCUUCAGCGAUAACGCGAAUAUCUGAGGCUGUCUCCGGCCAGUCACCACCUCUUGGUAAGCUUGCAGUCGCGAAUGCUCGGGGUGUGUCUUCAGCGCGGGAUAUCGAUCGCGUAUCGUUAAGGGUGACAGCGAGAACUACAAUUUACAAUUGGUAUGCUUGACGUUACGUGCUGGCGUCUAGGCAUUUAGAACGCGUCAACGGAAAAAGAUGUUGGGGCGACAAAAAAAAUUACCGCUGUGAGAUUAAUUGCGGUAGAUACCAUUCGCCAAUGAGAAAUAUUUUGUAUAAUUGAUGAAAACUAUACUUAAAAUAUUAUACUUAAAAUAUUAUAGGCAUAAAGCCUCAAAGGAAUUAUUGAACAGAGAAAAAUAUUAAACAUGAAUUAACACUAUUAAACAUGCAUAAUAAUAGAAAAGACAAAUGCGUAGCGCUGCAGCGUUAAAAUGUACACACACACGUUUCAUAUAUGUACUAUAUGUAUAUAUAAUGAAGUUAAAAGCAGUUUUCUAACAAAGGAUUUUCAGGAAAAUUCUCAAUCCAAAAUUUAAAUUACAUUUUUCACUGUUGUUGAUAGAAUUUGCUGGCCUGUUACGCAUUGUGAAUCUAUUAGUAUUAAAAUGCCAACCGCUGAAAGCAUAACUGAUGACCUAUUGAUCACGUAUUUAUGACUUUUCUGUAACGCAGUAGGAGAUCACCGACAGCCAGAUCGUAUCACCGAUCUUAUUUGCUGUGCAUAAAUUCCUGUCCCUUGUAAAAUUGUGAAAAACGUAAGUAAUAUGACGGAAUAAAAUAAGCAGUACUUAAUUAAUUGUAGUAAAUAAUUUUGAAAUUUCUAUACAAUUUUUAUACGUAACUUUGUAUAUAAAUAAAAAUACUGUGAUAUGUAAGGAUGUCUUUCUUGGCGUAAAAUAGCAAAACAAAAUUUGCUGCACAAUUAACGCGUUGAGCAACAUUUAUCGUAUUUAUUAAAUAUUGAGUGACAGGAGCUUGUUGGAUUAUCUAUAAAAAUUCAAUUUAAGGUCAGUAUAAAUCCAAAGCGUGGAUGUACGUGCCAUAAUGAAGUUAUCUUUCUGCCCUUUAUGCACUUCGAACAGCUCAAUUUAACUCUUUGCACACCCAAAAUUUUUCUCAGUUAAUAUUACUUGAUAUCUGUUUUAAUUUUUACAGUUUUUCUCAAUCACACCAAUUCUUUUCUCUUAUUCCUUUCACGUGCGGCAUUAACAAACUUCGAUUUCCUCUGUACUUUUUUUCUUGGAAAUUUUAAUGAUCGCUU